RNAcentral lists this transfer RNA (77 nucleotides) under Deltaproteobacteria bacterium. RNAcentral describes it as "tRNA-Met". It matches the Rfam family "tRNA". Rfam says of the family: Transfer RNA (tRNA) molecules are approximately 80 nucleotides in length. Their secondary structure includes four short double-helical elements and three loops (D, anti-codon, and T loops). The record is from RNAcentral. Lineage: Bacteria; Pseudomonadati; Myxococcota; Myxococcia. RNAcentral also lists the same sequence under 1 other name.
GGCUUGGUAGCUCAGAUGGUUAGAGCACACGGUUCAUACCCGUGGUGUCGGCGGUUCAAUUCCGCCUCAAGCCACCA